UUAAUAGUAUUUUUUUAUCGUUUGUUUUCUUGAGAGGAAGAAGGCAAAAUGGAAGUCAAGAAGUAAGAAUGGACAUCAUGAAAACAUCAAUGGGUCGCUCAUUACAAGAUGAAGAAAAUCCAGCAGAACUGUGUGGAGCACUGAGGGCAUGGCAAAAUAAUGGAUCGUCAGUACCAGAUGGAUGUGUGAAGUUAAGCUGGCUGAAGAUCAGAUUUGGCUGCUAUGGACGUUCUAAGUGCAUCUACAGAGGAAGCUUAAUCUUUCCCAUCCCAGAUGGCUGUCUUGAAAAGG
Phasianus colchicus (ring-necked pheasant) is the source of this 291-nucleotide non-coding RNA. NCBI's taxonomy places the organism in Eukaryota, Metazoa, Chordata, Aves, Galliformes, Phasianidae. The record is from RefSeq and is a predicted model, not a curated record.